Molecule: ribosomal RNA, 239 nt
Filed under: uncultured bacterium
Lineage: Bacteria
Description: partial 16S ribosomal RNA
Rfam family: Bacterial small subunit ribosomal RNA
Source: RNAcentral
AAUGAACGCUGGCGGCGUGGUUAAGACAUGCAAGUCGAACGGAGCAAGACCGGUAGCAAUACCUGUCUUGCCCAGUGGCGAACGGGUGCGUAACACGUGAACAAUCUACCUCUAAGUGGGGAAUAGCUCGGCGAAAGCCGAAUUAAUACCGCAUACGGUCGAGGCUCUCCUGAGCUUCGUACCAAAGUCAGGGACCGCAAGGCCUGACGCUAAGAGAGGAGUUCGCGGCCUACAGCUAG